UGUUUGCUUCACCUGAUUGCUUGGGUUCCAUUAGAAGUCUUGUGUCUUGCUUCCCUUGUGUGGAGUGGCUUCAGUUGGGAAGAGAUGAGUUGGGCAGGUUUUGUUUUGCACUUUUGCUCAAACGCUAACUCAACACUAAACAGUAGAUUAUGCUGAGAAGCUUCCUCCCUGCAGAAUUCAGGUGGGCAGGAAACUCAGAGAGAAAGUUCAGUUUACGUAUCUUGAAUCUUGAUGCUGAAGUUCUUAAUAAUUACUAAGAAUAGGUUGUGAACUCAGGGAAGUUGCUAUUGUUAUUGCAAAAAUGAGAGAAACCGAAAAACAUAUUUUCUUGCUCAACUUUCCCCCAAUAUAUCAAGAUGCAUGUUAGCUAGCAAAGAAUUGUAUUUUGUUUCAGAUUCCAGCAUUUAUUGUAAGAGUUGUUCAUAACGAAAAUUAAAGAAAAUAAAUCAGAUGAGGAAGUGAUGUGUGUCCUGUGUUGUGACAUGUACUCCCUCCGUUCCUAAAUACUAAAACAGCGACAAGUAUUUAGGAACGGAGGGAGUAUAUAAGAUAGAACAUUUCUGUUGUGGUUCACUAGAUACUAGUAUAGGCCAAGUGGCUCACCUUUAUCCCAACAGUAUUUUGAUUUUCAACAACAAUCUUCUAUAGGGUAGUUGGGUCCCAUCUUCAUUCAGUAAUCUCACUUGGUUCAAUCUAUGAACUUGAGAAGUAAUCGAGAUGACAGUUUGCAGUUGAACCCAAUUGUCAUCACUGUAC
RNAcentral lists this long non-coding RNA (756 nucleotides) under Brachypodium distachyon (stiff brome). Its description in RNAcentral is "long non-coding RNA (BDIS_LNC004474)". Lineage: Eukaryota; Viridiplantae; Streptophyta; Magnoliopsida; Poales; Poaceae. The record is from RNAcentral.